UCAGAAGCUCUGGGGUUGCUGGCAGUACUACUCUACACUUAGAUUUAUUUCACGUGUGCUCGUAUGUCCACGUACUGUGUGCAUGCCUGGUGCCCAUGGAUAUAAGAACCUCUUCAGAUCCUCUGAAAUUUGAGUAUGAAUGGUUCUGAGCCACCACGUGUGGGUGCUGGGAACUGAACCUGGGUCCUCAGCAACAAGUGUGCUUAACCUCUGAGCCAUCUCUCUAGCACCCCUCCCUUCUUUAUCCUAAUGUCUGUUGUGACAUACCACUCACUUAAGGUUUCCAGUGCACCCUCACUUCUUACCGGGGAAGUGUAGCCAAACAUUGAACUGAUCAUCCCAGAGGGUUUUAAUUCAUUGUACUAAAAUACAUAAUUCCACAGGCCUUUGAAUUCACAGCCAAGAGCAGUUUAAAGCAUAAUUCUAAACACAGGUUCUUUAGAAAGUCCUUCCAUGCUUCGAUACUGUAGUUUCUUAGUUCUAGCUGUUUGUGAGGCAGAGCUUCACAUGAUAUAUCUCACAGCAAAUUUUUCAACUUUGAAAAUCAAAAUAGGGGCUGGGGAGAUGGCUCAGCAGUUAAGAGCACUGGCUGCUCUUCUAAAGGUUCUGAGUUCAAAUCCCAGCAACCACGUGGUGGCUCACAACCAUCAGUAAUGGGGUCUGAUGCCCUCUUCUGGUGUGUCUGAAGAAAGCUACUUACAUACAUAAAGUAAAUAAAUCUUUAAAAAAAAAAAGAGAAA
Molecule: long non-coding RNA, 740 nt
Filed under: Rattus norvegicus (Norway rat)
Lineage: Eukaryota; Metazoa; Chordata; Mammalia; Rodentia; Muridae
Description: long non-coding RNA NONRATT018256
Source: RNAcentral